UAGGGAAUCUUCCACAAUGGGCGCAAGCCUGAUGGAGCAACACCGCGUGAGUGAAGAAGGGUUUCGGCUCGUAAAGCUCUGUUGUUAAAGAAGAACACGUAUGAGAGUAACUGUUCAGGUAUUGACGGUAUUUAACCAGAAAGCCACGGCUAACUACGUGUCAG
This 164-nucleotide ribosomal RNA is filed under the name uncultured bacterium. RNAcentral's name for it is "partial 16S ribosomal RNA". It matches the Rfam family "Bacterial small subunit ribosomal RNA", at positions 355 to 511 of the family's 1533-position model. The record is from RNAcentral.